This 223-nucleotide long non-coding RNA is filed under the name Lathyrus oleraceus (garden pea). Its description in RNAcentral is "Pisum sativum (pea) long non-coding RNA (PSAT_LNC010410)". The record is from RNAcentral. Lineage: Eukaryota; Viridiplantae; Streptophyta; Magnoliopsida; Fabales; Fabaceae.
UUGUUUCUUUCCUUUUUUUUUUUACUUCUGUGUACUGUCGCAUUGAGGACAAUGCAUUGUUUAAAUAUGGGAGGAAAUACUUAUCACUCCUCUACUUGUUUCUAUUGCUAAUACAAAAAAUUUUGCUUGUCCUUUUCAAUCAUUUUUACAUAUUUUGGCAUAACAAAAGAUUUUCCUAAAUAUUAAAUGCAUACCCUACGAGUAUAUAGGUUGUCUUGUGGAG